RNAcentral lists this ribosomal RNA (432 nucleotides) under uncultured bacterium. Its description in RNAcentral is "partial 16S ribosomal RNA". It matches the Rfam family "Bacterial small subunit ribosomal RNA", at positions 29 to 506 of the family's 1533-position model. The record is from RNAcentral.
AACGAACGCUGGCGGCAUGCCUAACACAUGCCAGUCGAACGAUCCCUUCGGGGAUAGUGGCGCACGGGUGCGUAACGCGUGGGAACCUGCCCUUAGGUUCGGAAUAACUCAGAGAAAUUUGAGCUAAUACCGGAUAAUGUCUUCGGACCAAAGAUUUAUCGCCUUUGGAUGGGCCCGCGUUGGAUUAGCUAGUUGGUGGGGUAAAGGCCUACCAAGGCGACGAUCCAUAGCUGGUCUGAGAGGAUGAUCAGCCACACUGGGACUGAGACACGGCCCAGACUCCUACGGGAGGCAGCAGUGGGGAAUAUUGGACAAUGGGCGAAAGCCUGAUCCAGCAAUGCCGCGUGAGUGAUGAAGGCCUUAGGGUUGUAAAGCUCUUUUACCCGGGAUGAUAAUGACAGUACCGGGAGAAUAAGCCCCGGCUAACUCCGU